GUCCUACGCAUGGUGAAUCAAUAAUGCCACAGGCUGUAGAGAGGUUAGCUCAUGGUAAGGCAUACUAAGUUACUGCCUUUUCCCAGAAUACUUCACUAGGCUACCAAGACACUUCUCCUGCUCCUUCUACUUCACUGGCUGCUCCUUCUCUGUCUCUUUUGUUGAAUCCUCUUCAUCUUACUGUCUUAAUGUUGGAGCGCCUCAAGGCUCUCUUCUUGGUCCUCUUCUUUUCUUUAGCUACAUUAUGUAGUUGAUCUCAGCCAGUCCCAUGACUUUAAAUACCAUGUGUAUGCUGACAACCUCCACAUUUACGUCCACUCCAGAUACAUAUAGCUAACUGUCUACACCUUUCUUCACAAGGAUGUUUAACAGACACCUCAAACUUACCACAUCUAAAUCAGAGAUUACAAAUACUCCCCUUCCCCAGCAAACUGUUUCUUUUCUAUCUCCCCAGUCUCAGCAAACGGCAACUCCACUCUCCUAAGAGCCCAGACCAAAACCCUUGGGAUCAUCUUUGACUCUGCUCCUUCUCUUAUACUAAACUGAUCAGCAAUUCCUGCGUGCUUUAUCUUCUAAAUAGAAUCAGAAUCUGACCAAUUCUCUCUAUCACUCUGACUUUAGUCCAGGCCAUCCUUAGUUUUCAUCCCAGCUAGGCUAAUCUCCUUGCUGGCUCUCUUGCUUCCCUUCAUAUAUUGCUCAUAUAGCAACCAGUCAUCUGUAAAAAAAUAAUAAUUUUUUAACCUUUUAAAACAUACACAUAAAUAAACAUAAAUGAUGACCACCGGCAUGCACCUAUCACUCAGCAUCAGAAACAACAUUUUACCCAACUUCUUUCUUCUAUUCCCUACACUCCCCUUUUUUGGUGGAGUAUUUUAAAACAAAUCCCAGUAAAGCCUUCCUUUUAAUUAUCUGAUCAAGCUGCUCAGAACUUUCCAGUUGCUUAUCUUCUCAGUAAAAGCCAAAUCCUUUAUGAUGACCUAUAAUUAUGGCCUAUGUGAUCUGUCACUACUCCCCCCACACCAUCUCCUUCGUCUCCUGUCCUCACUCUGCUUUAGCUACACCAGAGGUUCUCAAACCUCAGCACGCAUCAGCAUCUAGAGGGCUUCCUCUAGCAGACUGCCAGGCUCUACCCCCAGAAUUUCUGAUUCCGUGGAUCUGAAGCAGGCCUGGAGAAUUCGCAUUUCUAACAAAUUCCCAGAUGCUACUGCUGUCCAGUGGGCAUACUGGAGAACCACCAGCCUAACUGUUCUCCUUCCCGUUCCUCAACAAACCAGGCAAGAUUUUGCCUAAGAGUCUCUGUACGACUGUUUCCUUGCCCUGAGUACUCUCUGCUUUACUCAAGAUUCAUUUUAUUCCACCUCCGUUUAAAUGAUAUCAUUUGAAAGGCCUUGCCUGACCGCUCCUAAAACAGCAGCAUCCCAUCGCCUCACCCUGAUUUUCUUCGUUGCAGGCAUCGUUCUUUUCUAGUUUCUGAGCCCGUCUAGAGAGACAGCUCCGAAAGCAGAGACCUGGUUUUGCUCUCUCUCCUCUCCUAGUACCAAAACCUUGCCUAGAAGGUGCUCACUAAGAGUCCACCAAACUGAUCACAUAGUGAGGAAGGAGGCCCAGGUUCUUGCCUCAGUUUCACCGUUUGUAAAGGGAGAGCUCGGUUCUGCCUACCCUUCCCAUCUCCCUGGGUAUAGGCGCAAAUCAAAUGAGAAUAAUGUGAACCCGCCCGUGAAGCAGAGCAGUCAGCGAACACGAGCGCUGUUACGCCGCGCUUUCGGGCGCCCUUUCCCGGCACAGACAACACCUCUUCCCGUUUUCUAUCUCCCCCGCCCGGGGGACCCCCGGAGCCCGCCGUGGGCGGCCGGCGCCCCCGUCCCGCCCCGCGUCUG
This is a long non-coding RNA of Equus caballus (horse), 1877 nucleotides long. Lineage: Eukaryota; Metazoa; Chordata; Mammalia; Perissodactyla; Equidae. The record is from Ensembl.